GACGAACGCUGGCGGCGUGCCUAAUACAUGCAAGUAGAACGCUGAAGCGAGGAGCUUGCUCUUCUUGGAUGAGUUGCGAACGGGUGAGUAACGCGUAGGUAACCUGCCUUGUAGCGGGGGAUAACUAUUGGAAACGAUAGCUAAUACCGCAUAACAAUGGAUGACACAUGUUAUUUAUUUGAAAGGCGCACUUGCUCCACUACAAGAUGGACUUGCGUUUUAUUAGCUAGUAGGUGAGGGAAUGGCUCACCUAGGCGACGAUACAUAGCCGGCCUGAGAGGGUGGUCGGCCACACUGGGAGUGGGACACGGGCCAGGCUCCUGCGGGAGGCAGCAGGAAGGAAUCUUGAGGAAUGGGGGGAAAGCUGACCGAGCAAGGCCGGGUGAGUGAAGAAGAUUUUCGGGUCGUAAAGCUCUGUUGUAAGUCGAGAAAGAGUGUGAGAGUGGAAAGUUCACAGUGUGACGGUAGCUUACCAGAAAGGGACGGCUAACUACGUG
RNAcentral lists this ribosomal RNA (497 nucleotides) under uncultured bacterium. RNAcentral describes it as "partial 16S ribosomal RNA". It matches the Rfam family "Bacterial small subunit ribosomal RNA", at positions 28 to 507 of the family's 1533-position model. The record is from RNAcentral.